UUCGGGAUAGCUUAUCUAAAGCAUUGAUUUUGUAAUUCAAAGAAGGUUAAAACCAACCUCCCGGAU
RNAcentral lists this transfer RNA (66 nucleotides) under Ascobulla fragilis. Its description in RNAcentral is "tRNA-Thr". Lineage: Eukaryota; Metazoa; Mollusca; Gastropoda; Volvatellidae. The record is from RNAcentral.